AUCUCUCUCAUUUUUCUCUCCUUUCCCCAAUUCAUCUCUGCAUCUCCUCUUCAUUGCUCUAAAAAACACAAGAUCCUUCUUCCUCCCAUUUUUUUUUUCAUUUCUCUCGGAACUCUUCCCAUGUACCUCGACGCAAACCCGUAGCCUUAGCCAUGCAACCACACUCUUUUCUGCAACAACCCAAAACAAUUGCGGUCAUGGGAAUGUAGACACAUUUCAGCUCCACUCGUCCCACAGAGGGAUGUCGGAUCCGCAGAAGUCAUAAUGGGCAAAAGGAAAAACAGCACUCAAUUAGCUCAGAUCCGAAACACAAAAAGGGUGCAAAGGUUCUCGAACUGGAGCUGAACAAUAGCAAGGACAAAACAAACAUUGAAGACAUCGCGGACCCGAGUCAUGCAGAGGUAAAAAUUUUAUUUGCCACCAGUGAUGACCCCAAAUGCUGCUAAAAGCAUGAUUCAAUUGAAUUUUGCGCGCUUAAUGGAUAUUUAGGGCCCUUCGAGUCCAAAUGCAACCUGCAAAAAAAAAAAAAAAAAAAAAAAAAAAAA
Malus domestica (apple) is the source of this 545-nucleotide non-coding RNA. The record is from RefSeq and is a predicted model, not a curated record. Lineage: Eukaryota; Viridiplantae; Streptophyta; Magnoliopsida; Rosales; Rosaceae.